This 245-nucleotide ribosomal RNA is filed under the name uncultured bacterium. Its description in RNAcentral is "partial 16S ribosomal RNA". It matches the Rfam family "Bacterial small subunit ribosomal RNA", at positions 524 to 768 of the family's 1533-position model. The record is from RNAcentral.
UACAGAGGUGGCGAGCGUUGUUCGGAUUUACUGGGCGUAAAGGGUGCGUAGGCGGUUCUGUGUGUCGGUUGUGAAAUCCCACUGCUCAAUGGUGGAACUGCAAUCGAAACUGCGGGACUAGAGUGCAUGAGGGGAGAGGGGAAUUCUUGGUGUAGCGGUGAAAUGCGUUGAUAUCAAGAAGAACACCGGUGGCGAAGGCGCCUCUCUGGAAUGUUACUGACGCUGAGGCACGAAAGCUAGGGGAG